CAACGCACAAAGCACAAGACCGGUUUUAAUGCUCGGCAUUGGCGUGUGACUCGUUGAGCUUCUCUGUGGCGCUUCCGAAGGCAUACUAGACUAACCUAACCAAGGCAUUGCUCAAGUAUAUUCGCAGGAGAACGCUUGAAUGCGCACAAGUAACUGAUGUACGUUAGCAGUCAGGACAUGAAGGUUUUCGUUAUAUUUUUAUGCGCCUGUCUCACGAGUGCACUGCAAUACCGGGAAGCUAACCCGGGCGACCGCUACUGUCCUCAAGAGUUUUGGAAGUGCCACGAAUACUGCCUGGCCCAGUCGCCAAGCAGUCCGCUUAAAGCAAUGGACGGUAACUGUGGAGGGAGGUAUUCCCAGGACUGUAACUGCUACGAAUACACCCCAGGCUACCCGGAGUGGAUCCCUCCGGAGAUACCAGAUUGAGAGUGUCAGUUGCAAUAAAUGGUUCGAUGCACUGUA
Ornithodoros turicata is the source of this 462-nucleotide long non-coding RNA. RefSeq lists it as uncharacterized. The record is from RefSeq and is a predicted model, not a curated record. The transcript has 3 exons. Lineage: Eukaryota; Metazoa; Arthropoda; Arachnida; Ixodida; Argasidae.